Molecule: ribosomal RNA, 439 nt
Filed under: uncultured bacterium
Lineage: Bacteria
Description: partial 16S ribosomal RNA
Rfam family: Bacterial small subunit ribosomal RNA
Source: RNAcentral
CUACGGGGGGCAGCAGUGAGGAAUAUUGCACAAUGGAGGAAACUCUGAUGCAGCAACGCCGCGUGGAGGAUGACGCAUUUCGGUGUGUAAACUCCUUUUAUAUGUCAAGAAAAUGACGGUAGCAUAUGAAUAAGCACCGGCUAACUCCGUGCCAGCAGCCGCGGUAAUACGGAGGGUGCAAGCGUUACUCGGAAUCACUGGGCGUAAAGGACGCGUAGGCGGGAUAUGAAGUCAGGUGUGAAAUCCUACAGCUUAACUGUAGAACUGCACUUGAAACUGGUAACCUAGAGUAUGGGAGGGGGAGGUGGAAUUAGUGGUGUAGGGGUAAAAUCCGUAGAUAUCACUAGGAAUACCUAAAGCGAAGGCGAUCUCCUGGAACAUAACUGACGCUAAGGCGUGAAAGCGUGGGGAGCAAACAGGAUUAGAUACCCCAGUAGUC